GAUGAACGCUGGCGGCGUGCUUAACACAUGCAAGUCGAACGGAGGAGCGAUUUCGGUUGCUCUUCAGUGGCGCACGGGUGAGUAACACGUAGCUGACCUGCCCUCAAGAGUGGGAUAACGGGUCGAAAGACCUGCUAAUACCGCAUAAGCUCACGCGCAUUAGAGGCGUGCGAGAAAAGGCGUGCAAGCGCCGUUUGAGGAGGGGC
This 206-nucleotide ribosomal RNA is filed under the name uncultured bacterium. RNAcentral describes it as "partial 16S ribosomal RNA". It matches the Rfam family "Bacterial small subunit ribosomal RNA", at positions 28 to 231 of the family's 1533-position model. The record is from RNAcentral.